AGAAUCACCUGGCGGUCUUGAUGAAACACAAGCUGCUGAGCUUUACUCCAGAAUUUCUGGUUCAGUAGGUCUGCAGUAGGACCUGAAAUUUUAUAUUUCUAACAAGUUUUCAGGAGCUGCUGAUGCCGCUAGUACAGGGCUCACAUUUUGAGAACCUCUGGUCUAGCAAGUUGCCACCAAGAAUGAAGAUUGGGCCAGAGAACAGGAGGAAAUUUGUUUUGCAACAGAAAACAUAAGAAAUUUUCCCUGCUUGGAAGAUACUCAUACAUACCAGUUAAGCCAGACAUCUAAAACCAAGAUGACGAUGAAACUUUUCAAGUUGACACAUCUUACGAGUUUUAAAUUCUUAUUACCUUAAACCCAUAUUUUCCACACUGUAUCUUUGAAGAAAAAGAAGGACAUCCUGAAGGCUAUUCUGAAACAAGUCAACAUUUUGAUUUCAAACAUCAAAAAAGGUGUCCAGAAAUCUCAAGAAUUUGAGACAUCCUAAGGAACUUUAAGUGCUGUGAGCCACAAGUAACAUCAAGAAAAGACAGGGAUGAAGAACCGCACUUACAAGCUAAGUAAGAUUAAACCCAGCAUGGAGAUAUAUGAAUUAAUAUGAACUCUGAGAAAGAAAUUGGUCAGCUAAAAAAUAUAUGGCUUUCCUGAAUAGACAAAAGAACAAAGAUUUUCCCUUUGGUGUAAGCUCAUCCUACACAUGUCAUUUGGACCAGACCAAGGCUGCUGUCAUGGAGGACCCACACCACAGCUUGGGAACCAUUCAUCUACCAGAGGGUCACAUGACUUCAAAUGACUCUUCUAGGGGCCACCUGCCAUGAUAGGGUACCAGCUCUUCCUCUGAAUUCCCAAUCCAUUUCUUGAGAACUACUGUUUCUAAUAAGAGGGGAAGAAGGUCAUGUGGGAAUCAGUUAAAUCACGUGUGGAUAGAAGACAAGUUCCAGCUUUGUGGGAAAUCCUGUAGCCUUCGCCAGGUACACCCUGACAAUCUCAGAACUGAUCAGGAUUUGCUCAAAAUGGAUUUGCAAAGAGAAAAAAAAUUUAAUGUCACACUGCCAUGAUAAGUCAACCAACCAUCUCAUAUAUCAAAGGAGAGAGGCAGAGAAAGAAAAGGAGGAGGAUAAAGAAGAGGAGGAAGAGGACGAAAGGAAAACCAAGAGGAGGAGAAGCCACUUCUUACUUUGGAUUAAUGUGAAACUAAAUAGUUUACUACAUUUUAAGUGGGAAAAUGUUAGUUGAAAAGAUAUUUGUCAACCACAAACAUUUGAAAGGGAAGCAUUCCAAAGAUUUUCACUGUUUAUGUUCAAAUUACAACAUGUGCAGAAAGUUGUGCAACUGAAAAUCCUUUCAAACAACAGCUACAAAAGAGAUUGGUCAGUUAGGACAGGAAUAGAAAGUGGAAACUUAGAAGACUGGCUACUCCUUGUGUAUGAUUGCUGGGGUGAGUCUGUGCUGAGAACUUUUUACAAAGGGUGUCCUUUGCUGAUAUGAGAGGGGGGUGUCAAACUUUUGAGUGAUCACUGUGGGUCCUCAGCUUAGACAUCUUCUCUGGCCCAAGAUGGCACCCCUUGCUCUCUUUCCAUGGGACACAGGGACCUUGCCAUCCUUCCAUCUUAUAAGCCUUCUGUCAUGAUUUUUACUUCAUCCUAGAUAGCCUUAAUUUGGGCCAGGUCUCCAGGUUCCUCCACUUUCUUCUGUCCCAUCCAUACCCCUCACCAAUCCUCUGUAAAUUCCUUUCCAGGAUUUUACUGAGAACUACAGAGAAACAGGCUGGGAAUAACAAACAUGGGGAGUUAUGUAGUUAACAUACACUUUGACAUCACCUAGUCAUUUUCCUGAGUAUAUAGAUAACUCUGUUAUUACUGGUUAUAAGGUCCAUGAGAAGCCUUUAUCCUUUUCUGGAAACCAAGAAAGCACCUGCCCUCCCUCAGUCCUAAGGGGAGAAUCUUUAUGGGUGUAACAAUAAAAUGGAUAAUGGGAAAUUCUGAUGUCCUCAAGCAUACAUUCAGAUGUCCCCAAUGAGCAUCAUUUGUAUAUCAAGGGAACUCCAGAGAGAUGAUCCACAAUUCAGUGUGUCCCUUUGGCCAGUAGAGAGGUCACCUUAGUCUGGAAAUAAUGAUGAUAUAAUGUUAAAGAAACCUAACUAAACAA
RNAcentral lists this long non-coding RNA (2151 nucleotides) under Homo sapiens (human). Its description in RNAcentral is "uncharacterized LOC102724861, transcript variant 4 (LOC102724861)". The record is from RNAcentral. Lineage: Eukaryota; Metazoa; Chordata; Mammalia; Primates; Hominidae.